Daphnia pulex (common water flea) is the source of this 72-nucleotide non-coding RNA. Lineage: Eukaryota; Metazoa; Arthropoda; Branchiopoda; Diplostraca; Daphniidae. The record is from Rfam.
GGCUCAUUGGUUUAGUCGUAUGAUUCUCGCUUAGGGUGCGAGAGGUCCCGGGUUCGAUUCCCGGAUGAACCC